Molecule: ribosomal RNA, 448 nt
Filed under: uncultured bacterium
Lineage: Bacteria
Description: partial 16S ribosomal RNA
Rfam family: Bacterial small subunit ribosomal RNA
Source: RNAcentral
AACGAACGCUGGCGGCAUGCCUAACACAUGCAAGUCGAACGAGAUCUUCGGGUCUAGUGGCGCACGGGUGCGUAACGCGUGGGAAUCUGCCCUUUGGUUCGGAAUAACAGUUGGAAACGACUGCUAAUACCGGAUGAUGACGAAAGUCCAAAGAUUUAUCGCCAGAGGAUGAGCCCGCGUAGGAUUAGCUAGUUGGGGUGGUAAGGCGCACCAAGGCGACGAUCCUUAGCUGGUCUGGGAGGAUGAUCAGCCACACUGGGACUGAGACACGGCCCAGACUCCUACGGGAGGCAGCAGUGGGGAAUAUUGGACAAUGGGCGAAAGCCUGAUCCAGCAAUGCCGCGUGAGUGAUGAAGGCCUUAGGGUUGUAAAGCUCUUUUACCCGGGAUGAUAAUGACAGUACCGGGAGAAUAAGCUCCGGCUAACUCCGUGCCAGCCGCCGCAGUAA